AGUGAACGCUGGCGGUAGGCCUAACACAUGCAAGUCGAACGGCAGCACAGUAAGAGCUUGCUCUUACGGGUGGCGAGUGGCGGACGGGUGAGGAAUACAUCGGAAUCUACUUUUUCGUGGGGGCUAACGUAGGGAAACUUACGCUAAUACCGCAUACGACCUACGGGUGAAAGCAGGGGAUCUUCGGACCUUGCGCGAUUGAAUGAGCCGAUGUCGGAUUAGCUAGUUGGCGGGGUAAAGGCCCACCAAGGCGACGAUCCGUAGCUGGUCUGAGAGGAUGAUCAGCCACACUGGAACUGAGACACGGUCCAGACUCCUACGGGAGGCAGCAGUGGGGAAUAUUGGACAAUGGGCGCAAGCCUGAUCCAGCCAUACCGCGUGGGUGAAGAAGGCCUUCGGGUUGUAAAGCACUUUUGUUGGGAAAGAAAAGCAGCAGGUUAAUACCCCGCUGUUCUGACGGUACCCAAAGAAUAAGCACCGGCUAACUUCGUG
RNAcentral lists this ribosomal RNA (492 nucleotides) under uncultured bacterium. RNAcentral's name for it is "partial 16S ribosomal RNA". It matches the Rfam family "Bacterial small subunit ribosomal RNA", at positions 29 to 507 of the family's 1533-position model. The record is from RNAcentral.